RNAcentral lists this transfer RNA (69 nucleotides) under Trachyrhamphus serratus. RNAcentral describes it as "tRNA-Ala". It matches the Rfam family "tRNA". From Rfam's summary of the family: Transfer RNA (tRNA) molecules are approximately 80 nucleotides in length. Their secondary structure includes four short double-helical elements and three loops (D, anti-codon, and T loops). The record is from RNAcentral. Lineage: Eukaryota; Metazoa; Chordata; Actinopteri; Syngnathiformes; Syngnathidae.
AAGGCUUUAGCUUAAUAAAAGUGUCUGUUUUGCAUACAGGAGAUGUGGGGUAGUGUCCUGCAAGUCUUA